CACGGGAUGUUUACCAAAAUAAUUUUAAAAAAAUUAUUUAUAAAAAUAAUUAAAAUUUUAAUUUAUUUAUAAAAUUAAUGUAAAUCUUAUAAAAUAUUAUUUCAAAUGGUAUUUUAUAGUGUCCACUUCACCACCUCUUUUUCACGUAGAUGAUGAAUAAAAAAAAAAUUAAACACGCCAUUUGAAAUGGUAUUUUUGAAAACGCUAUUUCAAAUGAUAUUUUCAAAAAC
This 230-nucleotide long non-coding RNA is filed under the name Elaeis guineensis (African oil palm). RNAcentral's name for it is "long non-coding RNA (EGUI_LNC010731)". The record is from RNAcentral. Lineage: Eukaryota; Viridiplantae; Streptophyta; Magnoliopsida; Arecales; Arecaceae.